GGGUUGUGAGGUUAAGCGACUAAGCGUACACGGUGGAUGCCCUGGCAGUCAGAGGCGAUGAAGGACGUGCUAAUCUGCGAUAAGCGUCGGUAAGGUGAUAUGAACCGUUAUAACCGGCGAUUUCCGAAUGGGGAAACCCAGUGUGAUUCGUCACACUAUCAUUAACUGAAUCCAUAGGUUAAUGAGGCGAACCGGGGAACUGAAACAUCUAAGUACCCCGAGGAAAAGAAAUCAACCGAGAUUCCCCCAGUAGCGGCGAGCGAACGGGGAGGAGCCCAGAGCCUGAAUCAGUGUGUGUGUUAGUGGAAGCGUCUGGAAAGGCGCGCGAUACAGGGUGACAGCCCCGUACACAAAAAUGCACAUAUUGUGAGCUCGAUGAGUAGGGCGGGACACGUGGUAUCCUGUCUGAAUAUGGGGGACCAUCCUCCAAGGCUAAAUACUCCUGACUGACCGAUAGUGAACCAGUACCGUGAGGGAAAGGCGAAAAGAACCCCGGCGAGGGGAGUGAAAAAGAACCUGAAACCGUGUACGUACAAGCAGUGGGAGCACGCUUAGGCGUGUGACUGCGUACCUUUUGUAUAAUGGGUCAGCGACUUAUAUUCUGUAGCAAGGUUAACCGAAUAGGGGAGCCGAAGGGAAACCGAGUCUUAACUGGGCGUUAAGUUGCAGGGUAUAGACCCGAAACCCGGUGAUCUAGCCAUGGGCAGGUUGAAGGUUGGGUAACACUAACUGGAGGACCGAACCGACUAAUGUUGAAAAAUUAGCGGAUGACUUGUGGCUGGGGUGAAAGGCCAAUCAAACCGGGAGAUAGCUGGUUCUCCCCGAAAGCUAUUUAGGUAGCGCCUCGUGAAUUCAUCUCCGGGGGUAGAGCACUGUUUCGGCAAGGGGGUCAUCCCGACUUACCAACCCGAUGCAAACUGCGAAUACCGGAGAAUGUUAUCACGGGAGACACACGGCGGGUGCUAACGUCCGUCGUGAAGAGGGAAACAACCCAGACCGCCAGCUAAGGUCCCAAAGUCAUGGUUAAGUGGGAAACGAUGUGGGAAGGCCCAGACAGCCAGGAUGUUGGCUUAGAAGCAGCCAUCAUUUAAAGAAAGCGUAAUAGCUCACUGGUCGAGUCGGCCUGCGCGGAAGAUGUAACGGGGCUAAACCAUGCACCGAAGCUGCGGCAGCGACGCUUAUGCGUUGUUGGGUAGGGGAGCGUUCUGUAAGCCUGUGAAGGUGUGCUGUGAGGCAUGCUGGAGGUAUCAGAAGUGCGAAUGCUGACAUAAGUAACGAUAAAGCGGGUGAAAAGCCCGCUCGCCGGAAGACCAAGGGUUCCUGUCCAACGUUAAUCGGGGCAGGGUGAGUCGACCCUAAGGCGAGGCCGAAAGGCGUAGUCGAUGGGAAACAGGUUAAUAUUCCUGUACUUGGUGUUACUGCGAAGGGGGACGGAGAAGGCUAUGUUGGCCGGGCGACGGUUGUCCCGGUUUAAGCGUGUAGGCUGGUUUUCCAGGCAAAUCCGGAAAAUCAAGGCUGAGGCGUGAUGACGAGGCACUACGGUGCUGAAGCAACAAAUGCCCUGCUUCCAGGAAAAGCCUCUAAGCAUCAGGUAACAUCAAAUCGUACCCCAAACCGACACAGGUGGUCAGGUAGAGAAUACCAAGGCGCUUGAGAGAACUCGGGUGAAGGAACUAGGCAAAAUGGUGCCGUAACUUCGGGAGAAGGCACGCUGAUAUGUAGGUGAAGCGACUUGCUCGUGGAGCUGAAAUCAGUCGAAGAUACCAGCUGGCUGCAACUGUUUAUUAAAAACACAGCACUGUGCAAACACGAAAGUGGACGUAUACGGUGUGACGCCUGCCCGGUGCCGGAAGGUUAAUUGAUGGGGUUAGCGCAAGCGAAGCUCUUGAUCGAAGCCCCGGUAAACGGCGGCCGUAACUAUAACGGUCCUAAGGUAGCGAAAUUCCUUGUCGGGUAAGUUCCGACCUGCACGAAUGGCGUAAUGAUGGCCAGGCUGUCUCCACCCGAGACUCAGUGAAAUUGAACUCGCUGUGAAGAUGCAGUGUACCCGCGGCAAGACGGAAAGACCCCGUGAACCUUUACUAUAGCUUGACACUGAACAUUGAGCCUUGAUGUGUAGGAUAGGUGGGAGGCUUUGAAGUGUGGACGCCAGUCUGCAUGGAGCCGACCUUGAAAUACCACCCUUUAAUGUUUGAUGUUCUAACGUUGACCCGUAAUCCGGGUUGCGGACAGUGUCUGGUGGGUAGUUUGACUGGGGCGGUCUCCUCCUAAAGAGUAACGGAGGAGCACGAAGGUUGGCUAAUCCUGGUCGGACAUCAGGAGGUUAGUGCAAUGGCAUAAGCCAGCUUGACUGCGAGCGUGACGGCGCGAGCAGGUGCGAAAGCAGGUCAUAGUGAUCCGGUGGUUCUGAAUGGAAGGGCCAUCGCUCAACGGAUAAAAGGUACUCCGGGGAUAACAGGCUGAUACCGCCCAAGAGUUCAUAUCGACGGCGGUGUUUGGCACCUCGAUGUCGGCUCAUCACAUCCUGGGGCUGAAGUAGGUCCCAAGGGUAUGGCUGUUCGCCAUUUAAAGUGGUACGCGAGCUGGGUUUAGAACGUCGUGAGACAGUUCGGUCCCUAUCUGCCGUGGGCGCUGGAGAACUGAGGGGGGCUGCUCCUAGUACGAGAGGACCGGAGUGGACGCAUCACUGGUGUUCGGGUUGUCAUGCCAAUGGCACUGCCCGGUAGCUAAAUGCGGAAGAGAUAAGUGCUGAAAGCAUCUAAGCACGAAACUUGCCCCGAGAUGAGUUCUCCCUGACUCCUUGAGAGUCCUGAAGGAACGUUGAAGACGACGACGUUGAUAGGCCGGGUGUGUAAGCGCAGCGAUGCGUUGAGCUAACCGGUACUAAUGAACCGUGAGGCUUAACCUUACAACGCCGAAG
RNAcentral lists this ribosomal RNA (2920 nucleotides) under Escherichia coli. RNAcentral's name for it is "23S ribosomal RNA". It matches the Rfam family "Bacterial large subunit ribosomal RNA". Lineage: Bacteria; Pseudomonadati; Pseudomonadota; Gammaproteobacteria; Enterobacterales; Enterobacteriaceae. The record is from RNAcentral.